RNAcentral lists this unclassified non-coding RNA (341 nucleotides) under soil metagenome. RNAcentral describes it as "partial contains 5.8S ribosomal RNA, internal transcribed spacer 2, and large subunit ribosomal RNA". The stretch from base 1 to 120 matches the Rfam family "5.8S ribosomal RNA", at positions 35 to 154 of the family's 154-position model. The record is from RNAcentral.
GAUGAAGAACGUAGCGAAAUGCGAUAAGUAGUGUGAAUUGCAGAAUUCAGUGAAUCAUCGAAUCUUUGAACGCACAUUGCGCCCUUUGGUAUUCCAAAGGGCAUGCCUGUUCGAGCGUCAUUUGUACGCUCAAGCUUUGCUUGGUGUUGGGCGUCUUGUCUCUAGCUUUGCUGGAGACUCGCCUUAAAGUAAUUGGCAGCCGGCCUACUGGUUUCGGAGCGCAGCACAAGUCGCACUCUCUAUCAGCAAAGGUCUAGCAUCCAUUAAGCCUUUUUUUCAACUUUUGACCUCGGAUCAGGUAGGGAUACCCGCUGAACUUAAGCAUAUCAAUAAGCGGAGGA